RNAcentral lists this ribosomal RNA (847 nucleotides) under Pediococcus pentosaceus. Its description in RNAcentral is "bacterial SSU rRNA". It matches the Rfam family "Bacterial small subunit ribosomal RNA", at positions 555 to 1403 of the family's 1533-position model. The record is from RNAcentral. Lineage: Bacteria; Bacillati; Bacillota; Bacilli; Lactobacillales; Lactobacillaceae.
UGGGCGUAAGCGAGCGCAGGCGGUCUUUUAAGUCUAAUGUGAAAGCCUUCGGCUCAACCGAAGAAGUGCAUUGGAAACUGGGAGACUUGAGUGCAGAAGAGGACAGUGGAACUCCAUGUGUAGCGGUGAAAUGCGUAGAUAUAUGGAAGAACACCAGUGGCGAAGGCGGCUGUCUGGUCUGCAACUGACGCUGAGGCUCGAAAGCAUGGGUAGCGAACAGGAUUAGAUACCCUGGUAGUCCAUGCCGUAAACGAUGAUUACUAAGUGUUGGAGGGUUUCCGCCCUUCAGUGCUGCAGCUAACGCAUUAAGUAAUCCGCCUGGGGAGUACGACCGCAAGGUUGAAACUCAAAAGAAUUGACGGGGGCCCGCACAAGCGGUGGAGCAUGUGGUUUAAUUCGAAGCUACGCGAAGAACCUUACCAGGUCUUGACAUCUUCUGACAGUCUAAGAGAUUAGAGGUUCCCUUCGGGGACAGAAUGACAGGUGGUGCAUGGUUGUCGUCAGCUCGUGUCGUGAGAUGUUGGGUUAAGUCCCGCAACGAGCGCAACCCUUAUUACUAGUUGCCAGCAUUAAGUUGGGCACUCUAGUGAGACUGCCGGUGACAAACCGGAGGAAGGUGGGGACGACGUCAAAUCAUCAUGCCCCUUAUGACCUGGGCUACACACGUGCUACAAUGGAUGGUACAACGAGUCGCGAGACCGCGAGGUUAAGCUAAUCUCUUAAAACCAUUCUCAGUUCGGACUGUAGGCUGCAACUCGCCUACACGAAGUCGGAAUCGCUAGUAAUCGCGGAUCAGCAUGCCGCGGUGAAUACGUUCCCGGGCCUUGUACACACCGCCCGUCACACC